AUGAACGCUGGCGGCGUGCCUAAUACAUGCAAGUCGAGCGAACAGACGAGGAGCUUGCUCCUCUGACGUUAGCGGCGGACGGGUGAGUAACACGUGGAUAACCUACCUAUAAGACUGGGAUAACUUCGGGAAACCGGAGCUAAUACCGGAUAAUAUAUUGAACCGCAUGGUUCAAUAGUGAAAGACGGUUUUGCUGUCACUUAUAGAUGGAUCCGCGCCGCAUUAGCUAGUUGGUAAGGUAACGGCUUACCAAGGCGACGAUGCGUAGCCGACCUGAGAGGGUGAUCGGCCACACUGGAACUGAGACACGGUCCAGACUCCUACGGGAGGCAGCAGUAGGGAAUCUUCCGCAAUGGGCGAAAGCCUGACGGAGCAACGCCGCGUGAGUGAUGAAGGUCUUCGGAUCGUAAAACUCUGUUAUUAGGGAAGAACAAAUGUGUAAGUAACUAUGCACGUCUUGACGGUAUCUAAUCAGAAAGCCACGGCUAACUACGUG
Molecule: ribosomal RNA, 496 nt
Filed under: uncultured bacterium
Lineage: Bacteria
Description: partial 16S ribosomal RNA
Rfam family: Bacterial small subunit ribosomal RNA
Source: RNAcentral